RNAcentral lists this ribosomal RNA (703 nucleotides) under Aeromonas dhakensis. RNAcentral's name for it is "partial 23S ribosomal RNA". It matches the Rfam family "Bacterial large subunit ribosomal RNA", at positions 196 to 951 of the family's 2925-position model. The record is from RNAcentral. Lineage: Bacteria; Pseudomonadati; Pseudomonadota; Gammaproteobacteria; Aeromonadales; Aeromonadaceae.
AAACAUCUAAGUACCCCGAGGAAAAGAAAUCAACCGAGAUUCCCUCAGUAGCGGCGAGCGAACGGGGAUUAGCCCUUAAGCAUCUUGGAAGUUAGUGGAACGGUCCUGGAAAGGCCGGCGAUACAGGGUGAUAGCCCCGUACACGAAAACAACCUUGAUGUGAAAUCGAGUAGGGCGGGACACGUGACAUCCUGUCUGAAUAUGGGGGGACCAUCCUCCAAGGCUAAAUACUCCUGACUGACCGAUAGUGAACCAGUACCGUGAGGGAAAGGCGAAAAGAACCCCUGUGAGGGGAGUGAAAUAGAACCUGAAACCGUGUACGUACAAGCAGUGGGAGCCCUUCGGGGUGACUGCGUACCUUUUGUAUAAUGGGUCAGCGACUUACAUUUUGUAGCGAGGUUAACCGUAUAGGGGAGCCGUAGGGAAACCGAGUCUUAACUGGGCGUCUAGUUGCAAGGUGUAGACCCGAAACCGGGUGAUCUAGCCAUGGGCAGGUUGAAGGUUGAGUAACAUCAACUGGAGGACCGAACCCACUAACGUUGCAAAGUUAGGGGAUGACCUGUGGCUGGGGGUGAAAGGCCAAUCAAACUCGGAGAUAGCUGGUUCUCCCCGAAAGCUAUUUAGGUAGCGCCUCGGACGAAUACUACUGGGGGUAGAGCACUGUUUGGGCUAGGGGGUCAUCCCGACUUACCAACCCCAUGCA